CAUUGAAUUUACGUGAUGCAAUGAAGUCCACGGAUGCAUUGUCGUAAUACAUGAAGUCUUGCUUGAGAAUGCUCCAAGUACUUGGCUGUGAAAGAAAGAAUGGAAUUUACAACAACAAAAUCCUAAUUCUAAUAGAAUACUAACAAUGCUCUAAUUAGACCAUAAUAAUACUAAGGAAGCUUAAUCAAAUUUAAAAAAAAUCUCAAAGAAAUUUCAAACAAAUAAUAAGAAUUCUUAAAGAAAUAUUAGAAGGAUUAAAAAUAUCACUAAAAUACAUCUCAAUUCAAUCUUAAUUUAAUACUAGUUAAAAUUCUAUUGAACUUCAUUCAAACUUUAGGCCAAAACUCAUUGAAUCUUAAAUCCUAAUAAAAUCCUAAACUCAAAAUCAAACCCUAAAGAAAUCUUAAACCAAAUUUCAACUAGAUCUUAAAUCCUAAAUCAAAUCCUAAUCAAAAUCCUAAACCCUAAUCCAAAUUCUAAACCCUAAAUCAAACCCUAAUCUAAAUCUUCAUCCAAAUCCUAAUCCAAAUCCUAAACCCUAAAUUAAACCCUAACCAAAUCUUAAAUAAAUCUUAAAUCCUAAAUAAAAUCCUAAUCAAAUCCUAAAUCAAAUCAUAAUCCAAACCCUAAAUCCUAAGUCAAAUCCUAAAUUCUAAAUCAAAUCCUAAUCCAAAUCCAAAUCCCAUACCUUAAAUCAAAUCCUAACCAAACCCUA
Molecule: long non-coding RNA, 715 nt
Filed under: Physcomitrium patens
Lineage: Eukaryota; Viridiplantae; Streptophyta; Bryopsida; Funariales; Funariaceae
Description: long non-coding RNA (PPAT_LNC014716)
Source: RNAcentral